CGGCCUCCUUGGUGGUGUGAGACAGCUUGCGCUCGCCGGUCACCUGCGUGGUGGGCACGAGGGCAGCAUAUGUAGGGGUUGGCAAGGGGAUGAGCGGGGCCGGUCAGGCAGAACCGCGAAGGGCAGAAAAUGGGGAGCACAUCAAGAGGACAUGGGGCAAACGCAGGCAAACCUAACGAGGUGUGAUUGCGCUGAAGCUGUGCGCUCAUCCCCGUGCAUGUCAGCGGCUCCGGAUCAGGCAGCAGCCCACAUGCCAGGCCCCCAGCUGACGUCAGACCAGCUCGGCAACACGUACGAAGGAUAGGCCCCUGGUAAGAAACAGCUAGCACCCCUGGCUAGCACUGCUGUCUGUGUCCCAGCAGCCCGCUGCGAAGGGCCCAGCAC
RNAcentral lists this long non-coding RNA (384 nucleotides) under Chlamydomonas reinhardtii. RNAcentral's name for it is "long non-coding RNA (CREI_LNC000597)". Lineage: Eukaryota; Viridiplantae; Chlorophyta; Chlorophyceae; Chlamydomonadales; Chlamydomonadaceae. The record is from RNAcentral.